Molecule: ribosomal RNA, 253 nt
Filed under: uncultured bacterium
Lineage: Bacteria
Description: partial 16S ribosomal RNA
Rfam family: Bacterial small subunit ribosomal RNA
Source: RNAcentral
UACAGAGGGUGCAAGCGUUAAUCGGAAUUACUGGGCGUAAAGCGCACGUAGGCGGAUAUUUAAGUCGGGUGUGAAAUCCCCGGGCUCAACCUGGGAACUGCAUUCGAUACUGGAUAUCUAGAGUCUAGCAGAGGAAAGUGGAAUUCCCGGUGUAGCGGUGAAAUUCGUAGAUAUUGGCAGGAACACCAGUGGCGAUGGCGGCUUGCUGGGCUAGUACUGACGCUGAGACGCGAAAUCGUGGGGAGCAAACAGG